GACGAACGCUGGCGGCGUGCUUAACACAUGCAGGUCGAACGAAGAGCGAUGGAAGCUUGCUUCUAUCAAUCUUAGUGGCGAACGGGUGAGUAACGCGUAAUCAACCUGCCCUUCAGAGGGGGACAACAGUUGGAAACGACUGCUAAUACCGCAUACGAUCUAAUCUCGGCAUCGAGGAUAGAUGAAAGGUGGCCUCUACAUGUAAGCUAUCACUGAAGGAGGGGAUUGCGUCUGAUUAGCUAGUUGGAGGGGUAACGGCCCACCAAGGCGAUGAUCAGUGGCCGGUCUGAGAGGAUGAACGGCCACAUUGGGACUGAGACACGGCCCAGACUCCUACGGGAGGCAGCAGUGGGGAAUCUUCCGCAAUGGACGAAAGUCUGACGGAGCAACGCCGCGUGAGUGAUGACGGCCUUCGGGUUGUAAAGCUCUGUUAAUCGGGACGAAGGGCCUUCUUGCGAAUAGUGAGAAGGAUUGACGGUACCGGAAUAGAAAGCCACGGCUAACUACGUG
This 510-nucleotide ribosomal RNA is filed under the name uncultured bacterium. RNAcentral describes it as "partial 16S ribosomal RNA". It matches the Rfam family "Bacterial small subunit ribosomal RNA", at positions 28 to 507 of the family's 1533-position model. The record is from RNAcentral.